CCUACGGGUGGCAGCAGUGAGGAAUAUUGGUCAAUGGGCUUACGCCUGAACCAGCCAAGUCGCGUGAGGGAAGACUGCCCUAUGGGUUGUAAACCUCUUUUGUCAGGGAGCAACGCCGGCUACGUGUAGCCGGACUGAGAGUACCUGAAGAAAAAGCAUCGGCUAACUCCGUGCCAGCAGCCGCGGUAAUACGGAGGAUGCGAGCGUUAUACGGAUUUAUUGGGUUUAAAGGGUGCGUAGGCGGAAUGCCAAGUCAGCGGUAAAAUCGCGGGGCUCAACCUCGCUCCGCCGGUGAAACUGGCGGUCUUGAGUGGGCGAGAAGUAUGCGGAAUGCGUGGUGGAGCGGUGAAAUGCAUAGAUAUCACGCAGAACUCCGAUUGCGAAGGCAGCAUACCGGCGCCCAACUGACGCUGAAGCACGAAAGCGUGGGUAUCGAACAGGAUUAGAUACCCCUGGAGUC
RNAcentral lists this ribosomal RNA (460 nucleotides) under uncultured bacterium. Its description in RNAcentral is "partial 16S ribosomal RNA". It matches the Rfam family "Bacterial small subunit ribosomal RNA", at positions 338 to 795 of the family's 1533-position model. The record is from RNAcentral.